GGAACACACAGUUCUAAAUGUGAUGUCUCCAUCAAUUUUCUCCCCUCAAAGCUAAGGGAUCAUUGAGGAAGAGAAGGUGGUAGGAGUGUGGGAGCCAAAGGGGAACAUCAGGAGACAGCAAAGGCCAUAAGAACUUACGGAUACUGAACCACUUAGCCCAGAGCCUACAUUGGUCUGCAUCAGGUCCUCUGUGUAUAUAUUAUGACUUUGAGAGGUAGAGUCCAUCAUCAUCAGGAUAGGGAAGCUUGGCAGCAAGAAGGUAUGAAGGUUGGAGCAGCAAGAUGAGAACUCAUCUCUUAGGACAUAAAAAGGAAGCAGAAAACAAACCGUAUGUCCUAAGGCUUCUGAAACCUCAAAGCUUCGAAGUGACAAACACUCUCUAGGAAGGUCAAAUCUCCUAAACCUAAAUAUUUAAAUAUGUCUACCAACCAGAGACCAAGUAUUGACAUGCAAAGACUUUGGGGAUACCUCAUUUAAACCAGAUCAAUUACCUACAACAAUGAUUGACAUAAUGAUGUAUCUGCAAUGACUCAGUAGUUGGAUUUUUAUCCUGGAAGUAACCAAUAGCUGUCUAAUUGGACCUAAUGCCCAUGCAAUAACUAUAAACCUAAUCAAGAA
Long non-coding RNA from Mastomys coucha (southern multimammate mouse), 618 nucleotides. RefSeq lists it as uncharacterized. The transcript is spliced from 2 exons. NCBI's taxonomy places the organism in Eukaryota, Metazoa, Chordata, Mammalia, Rodentia, Muridae. The record is from RefSeq and is a predicted model, not a curated record.